AGCGAACGCUGGCGGCAGGCUUAACACAUGCAAGUCGAACGCCCCGCAAGGGGAGUGGCAGACGGGUGAGUAACACGUGGGAGCGUACCCUUUGGUUCGGAAUAACUUGGGGAAACUCAAGCUAAUACCGGAUAAGCCCUUAUGGGGAAAGGUUUACUGCCGAAGGAUCGGCCCGCGUCUGAUUAGCUAGUUGGUGAGGUAAUGGCUCACCAAGGCGACGAUCAGUAGCUGGUCUGAGAGGAUGAUCAGCCGCACUGGGACUGAGGCACGGCCCAGACUCCUACGGGAGGCAGCAGUGGGGAAUAUUGGACAAUGGGGGCAACCCUGAUCCAGCCAUGCCGCGUGAGUGAUGAAGGCCUUAGGGUUGUAAAGCUCUUUUACCCGGGACGAUAAUGACUGUACCGGGAGAAUAAGCCCCGGCUAACUUCGUGCCAGCAGCCGCGGUAA
RNAcentral lists this ribosomal RNA (447 nucleotides) under uncultured bacterium. RNAcentral's name for it is "partial 16S ribosomal RNA". It matches the Rfam family "Bacterial small subunit ribosomal RNA", at positions 29 to 523 of the family's 1533-position model. The record is from RNAcentral.